CUGGUGUUCCUCCACAUCUCUACGCAUUUCACCGCUACACGUGGAAUUCCACUCUCCUCUUCUGCACUCAAGUUCCCUGAAACAUCUAAGUAGCAAUAGGAGGAGAAAGAAAAAUCGAUUUCCUAAGUAGCGGCGAGCGAAAGGGAAAGAGGCCAAACCGAAGGACCUGGUUCUUCGGGGUUGUGGACUGCAUCAAGCGAUGGAGGCUAUGGUAGUCGAACUGUUUUGGGAAAGCAGACCAAAGACGGUGAAAGUCCGGUAGACGAAACCAGAAGACCCGCUGCAGGAUCCAGAGUACCACGGGACACGAGAAACCCUGUGGGAAGCCGGGGGGACCACCCCCCAAGCCUAAAUACUCCCCAGUGACCGAUAGUGAAGCAGUACUGUGAAGGAAAGGUGAAAAGAACCCCGGGAGGGGAGUGAAAAAGAACCUGAAACCUUGUGCUUACAAACAGUCAGAGGUCUACGGACUGAUGGCGUACUUUUUGUAGAACGGUCCGGCGAGUUACUAAUGCCAGCGAGGUUAAGUGGUCAGAAGCCACGGAGCCGAAGGGAAACCAAGUCUGAAUAGGGCGUAAAGUUAGUAUUAGUAGACCCGAAACCGGGUGACCUAUCCAUGUCCAGGUUGAAGGAGCCGUAAAAGGCUUUGGAGGACCGAACACACAUCUGUUGAAAAAGGUGGUGAUGAGGUGUGGAUAGCGGAGAAAUUCCAAUCGAACUCGGAGAUAGCUGGUUCUCCUCGAAAUAGCUUUAGGGCUAGCCUCGAGAUGGAGUCUAACGGAGGUAAAGCACUGAACUGACGCGGGGCCCAAAAAGGUUACCAACUCAUAUCAAACUAAGAAUGCCGUCAAGAUACCCUCGGGAGUCAGUCUGCGUGAGAUAAGUCGCGUGGACAAAAGGGAAAGAGCCCAGACCGACAGCUAAGGUCCCAAAGUACGUGUUAAGUGGAAAAGGAUGUGGGAUUUCAUAGACAACUAGGAUGUUGGCUUAGAAGCAGCCAUACAUUUAAAGAGUGCGUAACAGCUCACUAGUCGAGAAAACCUGCGCCGAAAAUUUAACGGGGCUAAAACACGACACCGAAGCUACGGAUUUCCUACUAGGUAGGAAGUGGUAGAGGAGCAUCCUGCAAGGACGAAGCCAAAGUGGAAACGAUGGUGGACGAAACAGGAGAGAGAAUGCCGGAAUGAGUAGCGAGAUAGAAGUAAGAAACUUCUAGGCCGAAUAUCUAAGGUUUCCAGAUC
This 1241-nucleotide ribosomal RNA is filed under the name Streptococcus infantis. RNAcentral describes it as "partial 23S ribosomal RNA". It matches the Rfam family "Bacterial large subunit ribosomal RNA", at positions 104 to 1360 of the family's 2925-position model. Lineage: Bacteria; Bacillati; Bacillota; Bacilli; Lactobacillales; Streptococcaceae. The record is from RNAcentral.